CCCCGCCUAGGCAGCCAGUGGACACCUGCAUCUGCCUGCAAGACGGGAAGCAGGUCAGCGCAUGGACAGUUUCCCAGAAAGCGACAAAGACUGUGAAGUUUGACGGUCUGGAAAACGGAGACCAACCGCGCUGACUACCUGGGAGCACCGAGACUCAGGACAGCGCCGCUCGGGGUCCAGGAAGGGAGCCACAAUCUGCUUCAGCACCAGGGCUCCGGACAGCUCCUAGGGGGUUCCCGGAGCCGACUUCAUUUCAGAACCAGGACACUGGACAGCUUCCCUGGUACCGGGAAGCCCCUGUCCCCUGACGGGGGAACAGAGGGUGGUCUGAAGUGUCUGACGUUUCUGGAGACUUGACCCUCAUUUAAUGGAUCUUUCAACGAAUUGUUUUCCAGAUAAGCAGCCUACCAUCAGUUCCAUGGACCAAUUACAGAACACGUGUAAACUUGCGUCUAGUAGGUGGGCUGUGGCAUCAUCGAGGCUCACCUCCAAUUCUCUGUGACACCCUAAUCAAGUCACAGACACGACAUUGGGCUCAGCCCAGCCUACGAACAGCCUUUGCCUUUGUUGUUCCCUCAGCUUGGAAUGGAUGCCGCCACCCCGAGUGCCCCAUGGCACAUUCUGCCUCCUCAUCCAAGUCUCAUUUCAUUGAGGGAAACUUUCUUUGUUGCCUCACCUUUCCCCACGUCAAGUCUACAUUAGACAUUCUCAUAGACCCGGGAUAUCUUCCACCUGGCACUUAGUCUAAUUAUUUUUGUGUUACUAUUUACAGAACUGUCUCCCCCAUGAUACUGUGAGCUCCAUGAGGGCAGAGACUGUGUUUGUAUUUUCACUGCUGAGUCCCCGGCACCCAAUCCAGGGCCUGGUACACAGCAGGUGCUCAAUAAAUAUUUGUUGACUCAAUAAAGGCAUAAGGGAAUAAACCAAUACAUCAAUCAAUAAAUGAAUUGAUGGUUUCGGCGCACGAAGAUCCUACUUCUCCUCGGUCUCCCCCACAGAGAUACCACAGGGCGAUGGUUGAUGCAGGUGUUUAUUGGGAAGUAUAAUUAAAUUUGUGGACACUCAAGGGCCGGCCAACCAACUAAUGCCCCAGGAGACAGCCAGACUCGUUUAAUUAGCAAUUAUGAGGCAUUGAUUCCUCAUUAGCUCUGGCAACCCCUGUCUCCCUCCUCAGCCCCAGACAAACGAAAUCUUUCUCUCUCCCGGGAGUACUGUCUCAGUGGGUCCAUUAACAAGCAGAGAAGAUAUGAUUACAAGACACCUAAAUGCCAGAGGCUCUUCAUGAAUGAGGAGCGGAGAGAGAGUUCCACAUCUGGGUUAAGGCUAACUGUGAGAGACUUUCUGGUAUAUUUAGAAUUGUUCUCUGGGAAUGGGAGCGCUUUCAGAUACGAAAAGGCACCCAGAUACUGCCCUUUAGGGACACCAAUGAAAGAGGAGGUUCUGCCCUGGUAUUUUUUUUUUAAAUCUUAUUUAUUUAUUUAUUU
Globicephala melas (long-finned pilot whale) is the source of this 1484-nucleotide long non-coding RNA. RefSeq lists it as uncharacterized. Lineage: Eukaryota; Metazoa; Chordata; Mammalia; Artiodactyla; Delphinidae. The record is from RefSeq and is a predicted model, not a curated record.